Molecule: transfer RNA, 72 nt
Filed under: Candidatus Peribacter riflensis
Lineage: Bacteria; Candidatus Peregrinibacteriota; Candidatus Peribacteria; Candidatus Peribacterales
Description: tRNA-Cys
Rfam family: tRNA
About the family: Transfer RNA (tRNA) molecules are approximately 80 nucleotides in length. Their secondary structure includes four short double-helical elements and three loops (D, anti-codon, and T loops).
Source: RNAcentral
GGUGCCGUAGCCAAGUAGUAAGGCAGGGGUCUGCAAAACCCCCAUACGCGAGUGCAAUUCUCGCCGGCACCU